RNAcentral lists this long non-coding RNA (406 nucleotides) under Elaeis guineensis (African oil palm). RNAcentral's name for it is "long non-coding RNA (EGUI_LNC071089)". The record is from RNAcentral. Lineage: Eukaryota; Viridiplantae; Streptophyta; Magnoliopsida; Arecales; Arecaceae.
CAUGUCUGUGCUCCCUCCACCCAUAAGCUAGCAGCUGGCCAAUCAUCACUGCGACCAGCCACCAUUGCUGCAUGCUGUUGGCCAAUCACCUGCAAGUAUACGAGCAGCAUCCUCACUGCCGACCCAAUCAGCGGGAAUCCAGUAGUAGGAUUUUCUUUUCUUUUCUUUUUCUUUUUCCAAUGAUUGUAAGUCCUAUGAGUAUGACUAGGAAAAAGGGCGAAUGCGAGCAGAAGAAUGUUCUUAUACCCAUGUAAACAAGAAAGCAGAUGCAGAACCUUACCUCAAAUUGCUUCCUCACCUUACCAGCCACAUUGUUGUUCUUUAACAUUGCCAGAUAACCAUUGAGAAGAGGCAACUAGGGACCUCCCCAACUUUUCCAUGCCUUAAAAUCUAGUUCUCAGGAUGC